CUUCUAUACUUCUAUAAUCUCAUUUUAUAGUGGUACUUCCAAAAAAAUCCUUGAAUGCUUCAACAAUCCUUAGCAAUGGAUUUUUUCUCAAUUUAUCUUCUUUUUACUCAUAAUUUUGAAGUUUAAUCAAAAAUUGUAUUGUCCUCCUCCCAUAUUCACUAUGAAUUUGUACAUAAGUUGAACCAUUAUCAAGUACUUUUUUUUCCAUCUGAGUUGCAAUAAUAUAUGAUUGCUCCAAAAUAAGAAGAUAAGAUGUUGCAUUUUGAACAAAGAAAUUUUGUUCCAUUACAACAUCACUAAUUCAAAUUUUCACAUGUAGGCAAGUAUCAUAUAACUCACCUUGUGUAUUAUUAGCUAUCCGUAUUAUCCAUCUAUGCUCUAUAUCAAUUGGCUACCUUUGUUUCAUGUAAAAAUGCUUAG
Molecule: long non-coding RNA, 420 nt
Filed under: Physcomitrium patens
Lineage: Eukaryota; Viridiplantae; Streptophyta; Bryopsida; Funariales; Funariaceae
Description: long non-coding RNA (PPAT_LNC003019)
Source: RNAcentral